ACAGUAUGGUGGGAGCAUUUACGGAUAAGGUCUCUUAACUUUUCUCAUAUCUCAUAAAAAUAUUCACCAUCUAAUUGGGAAAAACUAGUGAUGGCUUUUCUAAUUU
This is a small nucleolar RNA of Elaeis guineensis (African oil palm), 106 nucleotides long. Lineage: Eukaryota; Viridiplantae; Streptophyta; Magnoliopsida; Arecales; Arecaceae. The record is from RefSeq and is a predicted model, not a curated record.